This 1341-nucleotide ribosomal RNA is filed under the name Phytophthora sulawesiensis. RNAcentral describes it as "eukaryotic LSU rRNA". It matches the Rfam family "Eukaryotic large subunit ribosomal RNA", at positions 24 to 1155 of the family's 3401-position model. The record is from RNAcentral. Lineage: Eukaryota; Oomycota; Peronosporomycetes; Peronosporales; Peronosporaceae.
CCCGCUGAACUUAAGCAUAUCAAUAAGCGGAGGAAAAGAAACUAACAAGGAUUCCCCUAGUAACGGCGAGUGAAGCGGGAAGAGCUCAAGCUUAAAAUCUCCGUGCAAGUUUUGCGCGGCGAAUUGUAGUCUAUAGAGGCGUGGUCAGCGUGGGCGCUUGGGGCAAGUUCCUUGGAAGAGGACAGCAUGGAGGGUGAUACUCCCGUUCAUCCCUGAGUGGCUCGUGCGUACGACCCGUGUUCUUUGAGUCGCGUUGUUUGGGAAUGCAGCGCAAAGUAGGUGGUAAAUUCCAUCUAAAGCUAAAUAUUGGUGCGAGACCGAUAGCGAACAAGUACCGUGAGGGAAAGAUGAAAAGAACUUUGAAAAGAGAGUUAAAGAGUACCUGAAACUGCUGAAAGGGAACCGAAUCGUUUCCAGUGUCUAUAAUCCGUGGCAUAUUUCAUUGGCGAGUGUGCGCGUGCGUGUGUUGUGGCAGCGGCUUUUUUGGCUGCGCCCGGCGCGUGUGCUGUGUGUGCUUGCUGGUGCCCUGUGCUGCGGUGGGACGUCAAGGUCAGUUCGUAUGCUGCGGGAAAUGGCUGCCGAGGAGGUAGGGCUUACGCUCUGCGUUUGUCUAUUAUAUCUUGGUGGACGAGUCGUCGCGGUUGGGACUGAGGUGCCUACAACGUGCUUUUGAGUGGGUGUGUGUCUCCGUGUGCGCCGUGUGCGGAUAGCUUGCUAUGCGUGUGUGGUUGUGUGUGGAUGGAUGCGUGCUUUAACUUGUCGCCGUUCGGGACGUUGACGAAAUGGAGCGAUCCGACCCGUCUUGAAACACGGACCAAGGAGUCUAACAUGUGUGCAAGUGUUAGGGUGUGGAAACCCCAGCGCGAAAUGAAAGUGAAGGGCAGCGCAAGUUGUCUGAGGUAGGAAACGUUGCGGGCUUCGGUCUGCGGCGUGGCACUAUCGACCGAUCAUGAACCUUCGUGGUGAAAGAUUUGAGUUUGAGCACAUAUGUUGGUACCCGAAAGAUGGUGAACUAUGCCUGAGUAGGGUGAAGCCAGGGGAAACUCUGGUGGAAGCUCGUAGCGAUUCUGACGUGCAAAUCGAUCGUCAAACUUGGGUAUAGGGGCGAAAGACUAAUCGAACCAUCUAGUAGCUGGUUCCCUCCGAAAUUUCCCUCAGGAUAGCAGCAACUUAUUUACGAUAGUUUUAUGAGGUAAAGCGAAUGAUUAGAGGAUUCGGGGAAGAAACUUCCUCGACCUAUUCUCAAACUUUAAAUCUGUAAGACCUGCAGGUUUCUUAAUUGAACUUGUGGAUGUGAAUAUCAAGUUGCUAGUGGGCCAUACGGGGUAAGCUCGUCUGGCG